This 299-nucleotide ribosomal RNA is filed under the name uncultured bacterium. RNAcentral's name for it is "partial 16S ribosomal RNA". It matches the Rfam family "Bacterial small subunit ribosomal RNA", at positions 475 to 776 of the family's 1533-position model. The record is from RNAcentral.
CUAUGCGCCUUGCCAGCCCGCUCAGGUGUGCCAGCAGCCGCGGUAAUACGUAGGUGGCAAGCGUUAUCCGGAUUUAUUGGGCGUAAAGCGAGCGCAGGCGGUUGCUUAGGUCUGAUGUGAAAGCCUUCGGCUUAACCGAAGAAGUGCAUCGGAAACCGGGCGACUUGAGUGCAGAAGAGGACAGUGGAACUCCAUGUGUAGCGGUGGAAUGCGUAGAUAUAUGGAAGAACACCAGUGGCGAAGGCGGCUGUCUGGUCUGCAACUGACGCUGAGGCUCGAAAGCGUGGGGAGCAAACAGG